GUGCCUCAAACUAAUGAGUAAGGAAAACCAAUUCGCCUUGCUAAUCGCUCGGCAGUUUGGCUUCUAAAAGGCAAUGGAAUGCCGUUGGAUGUUGGGAGGGGAGACUCUCCCUUCCCCUCGUCCACGGCAUUUCUUUGAAGCUCAAAUUUUUGCAUGGGCACAGGUCGCCCCCUUUUUUGUGUUUUUGCUGUGGGGACUUCGUUCGGUUGGGCUUUGCCGGGGAAGGAACCUGCAUGGAGCACCUACUUUUGUGUUUCCGCAGGGGAAUUUCCAGCUUGGCCCUCCUUGGAUGUUUUCUCUGCUUGUGCUGCGUGCACGUGUGUGUUUGCAAAAAACAAAAAAAAGGGUCGUUGCGAUCUGCCC
RNAcentral lists this small nuclear RNA (363 nucleotides) under Drosophila willistoni. Its description in RNAcentral is "snRNA:U12:1". The stretch from base 1 to 205 matches the Rfam family "U12 minor spliceosomal RNA". Rfam says of the family: Although the U12 sequence is very divergent from that of U2, the two are functionally analogous. Lineage: Eukaryota; Metazoa; Arthropoda; Insecta; Diptera; Drosophilidae. The record is from RNAcentral.